RNAcentral lists this ribosomal RNA (433 nucleotides) under uncultured bacterium. Its description in RNAcentral is "partial 16S ribosomal RNA". It matches the Rfam family "Bacterial small subunit ribosomal RNA", at positions 29 to 507 of the family's 1533-position model. The record is from RNAcentral.
AACGAACGCUGGCGGCAUGCCUAACACAUGCAAGUCGAACGAGACCUUCGGGUCCAGUGGCGCACGGGGUUGUAAGCCGUGGGAACCUGCCCUUAGGGUCGGACUAACUCUCCGAAAGGGGUGCCAAUACCGGACAAGAGCUACUGACGAAGGAUUUAUUGACCUGGGUGGGGCCGGCGUUGGAUAAGCUAGUUGGUAGGGUAAUAGCUUCCGAAGGGGAGCAUUCAUAGCUGGUUUGAGAGACUGAUCAGCCACACUGGGACGGAGACGCGGCCCGGAAUCCUCCGGGAGGGAGCAGUGGGGAAUGUUGGAACGUGGGCGGAGGCCUGAACGAGCAAUGCCGCGUGAGUGAUGAAGGUCGUAGGGUUGUAAAGCUCUUUUAACCGUGAUGAUAAUGACAGUACCGGGAGAGUAAGCUCCGGCUAACUCCGUG